RNAcentral lists this non-coding RNA (148 nucleotides) under Pan paniscus (pygmy chimpanzee). The record is from Rfam by way of RNAcentral. RNAcentral also lists the same sequence under 1 other name. Lineage: Eukaryota; Metazoa; Chordata; Mammalia; Primates; Hominidae.
GCCGGGUGUGGUGGCGCAUGCCUGUAGUACCAGCUACUUGGGAGGCUGUGGUGGGAGGAUCACUUGAGCCCAGGAGGUCAAGGCUGCAGUGAGCCAAGAUUGUGCCACUGCACUCCAGCCUGGGCAACAGAGUGAGACCAUGUCUCAA